UUGCGGCGAUAUCACGUUGAAACAUCGGUACCCGUAUGAUCACCGGAGUUAAGCAACGUCGAGUUUGGUCAGCACCUAGAUGAAUGACCGCUUGGGAAUACGAAUUGCUGUAA
This is a non-coding RNA of Acanthosepion pharaonis, 113 nucleotides long. The record is from the annotation of a GenBank genome assembly. NCBI's taxonomy places the organism in Eukaryota, Metazoa, Mollusca, Cephalopoda, Sepiida, Sepiidae.